UAACUGUUUAUAUAAUGCACUUGAAAUAUUGAUAUUUAAAAUUAUCUUAUUUAUAAAUUCAUAUUUUUAAUUUUAGGGAAAUUUUAUGAACUAUCUUAUUUGGUGAAAUGUAAAAAUUUUUUUUUAUUUAAGAUAAGUAUGUCAAAGUAAUUAUUGACUUUGAGUUUUAUCACAAUAUUCCUUAAAACCACGAGCUAGAGAGGAGUAUUUUGCAUGAUCAAAAAAAAAAAAAAAAAAAAGGUUACCAGAUAAAAUAGAAUUAACUUGAAGUAAAGUAUAUAGUCUGUAAUGAUUACAUGAAACCAUUUGUUCCUGAGUUAGUAGCAAAGUUAGACUGCUUUGCAGUUGUUUAGGAAAAGACCUCACUUGAAGAGUAAGCACAAGGAGAAUUUAGAACUUUGGGACCUCUACUAAGCAGAACGUAUUACUGACACCAAAUACAUCAACUUAACCUGCCCCUAGUAUCCUGAUACUGCCUAAUAUAUUCAAGGCCUCUUCAUAUAUUUUGUAUUUGAAAUGAAUCCAUUAAGUGCUUUUAAAAAAUAAUAAUCAUAGGCAUGUAUUACCCUGAUAUUUCUCUCCUACAUAUGCAUUCCAUGAGGUUCUCUCUUCAAAGUGCCAAUAUAGCUUAGAGCACCAGCUCUUGCACUCUGGCUCUCCUCACAUAAAAUUUUCAGUGCAUUUGUUUCCUACUUCUUGUCUUUUCAAACUGAAUCAUUUACUUCUAAUAAAUGUUAGAAAGCUAGGAAGCCGCUCUGCCACUAAGUCAUUUUGAUUAGACAUCUCUGUUUUCCCUUUAAUUCAUCUGCUGCUCAUCUCCAAGUUUAUUUCUCUCCAAUGAACUGUGGUAGGCAAACCCAAUAUUUUUCUCUUGCUUUUAACCUUCUCUACCCUAAUCAUUUCUUUCUUACUGCCCGACAGAAUGUCUUUUCGAAAAAACUCACUUAAUAGUGAUAUCUAAAAUGGGUUAAUGUGUAAAAGGACAAUGCAAGAAUCCUCAUAGUUCCUUUAUGGUCUGGUCACUUUAUCUUUGUACACCUAGUUCUAGACUUCCUCACUUUUUAAUCCACUUCUUUACUACUUUCUGUGAUUUAAAUAUCAGAAUUUCUUGGCACUGAUCCUUCUGCAUAUAUAUUUCUUGAGCUGCUCAUGGCUAAUGUAGACUUCUAUCAAGUUUGCACUUGCCCUCAGCUUAUUUCUCCUCUAAUAACUCCCUAGGAGAGGGUUCAUUUACUCUCCAAACUCCAACCACUGCCUCUACCCAGUAGGUACAGCCUAUAGCUCUGGCAAAACCUCUAUAAAAUGUAAUAUUGACAAGUUAAUUUCCACUUCAGGGAACUAUAGUGAAUUUUAAAAUGUUUUUGUUAUUCAUAAUUCUGACAUCUCUAAUUUUUUUAUAAAAAUUGCAAUUAUGAUAUUCUCACAAAGACGCCUGUGUUUUUCUGUUGCCUAUAAGCAGAUUGUAGUAUAAGCAUAUUUAGUUAUUUUACUAUCUCUGGGUAGUGACCUGCUUUUUUCUCCAUCCCAUGGGGUACCAUAUGUUUUGUAGGUUUUCUUAUUGACCUCCUCUUUCCCAUUUUAAUAUUGGCCUCAUGGACUCAUUUACUUCUAGGACUUUAAAAAAUUGUUUGCUAUUUGUUCAAAAUGAGAACUUACUAUGUAGAUCUGGGUGGUCUUGUUCUCACUGUGUAGCCCAGGUUACCCACAAACUUGUAGAAAUUGAAUUCUAUCAAGCUUGAUUACUGGGAAAAGAGCUAGGCAACAACAUGCCCAGAUUAUGUUUGGCUUCUGUUGUUGAUUGUUUGUCUCCAAUGACCCCAUCCUAUCAUUCUAAGUCUAGAGAGUUUUGAUGUCUUCUGUUUGAUAUAUAUGCACUUUGGUUUCUUUUAUUCUUAAAUUUGGGCUCCAACUGAAUUAAUCUUAUGAUUCUACCAAUGUUGUCUUUUAAAUCUCUAGUUUCUUUUUUUUUUUUUUUUAAAGAAUGGAUCUUUAACACCCACUUCUUAAAAGAGUAGAUGUACAACACUUAAAUUUUAUUGGCUACCCCCUCUGCUGUGUGUUCAGUACUGUACAAAGAAGUUUGCCUGUUGUACUAGGUUAUUGCUCAUGAAAGCUCCCUUGGCUUACAUAGUUAUUACUCUUGUUUCUUCUGAUGUGAAAAUUAAUGUACAUACAUGGAAAAUAGCUUGCCUUUGAUCACCUGGCUGGUUCAGAGUAGAGUAAACUUAGGUUUGGAAUUGCACACAUACAUAUAAACAUUUUCUUGAUUUCGAAGAUGCUGCUUGAGUGGGCUGCAGGGUGCUGCAGUUGCAGUCUUCCCAGGAAAAUGGCCAUGGAGGAAGCUUGGCUUUCUACACUGAGUGUCUUGUCAACUAUCACAGCACAAAAUAAUAAGAUAGCAGAUGCAUUGAUAAGCUAAUGCCUUUGUCAGUGAUUAAUACACAUUUGAUACUGUGAGCAUGAUUUAGCACUAACUGUAAAUUCUUAAAGUGGGUGAGACUAUCUCAUUGUGAUUACUUGAGUCAUGGAUACUUGAGCUGUGGAAGACAUCCACGUGUCAUUAUUCAAAAUCUACAAUAAAAUUCUACCUAGUUUGCAGGCUAGGCAAAAUAUCAUUAUUUAUACAGAUAACAAUUGCCAGUUAGAAGGUUAUCAUUAAAGUAUGUGCUUUUAUUAGAAACAUUCUAGGAGCACUAGGCUAGUAAUUGUUUAAGAUUUUACCAUUUUCAUUAUUGCAAAAUAACACAAUUUUGACUGCAUCAUGUUGCUUGUUGCUGAGUCCAAAAUGCUACAUUUCAAGACAGGGCCCAAUCUAACUCAGUGAUUUGCUUAAGCCUAGUGUGCAUUCCAUUGCUUUUUUUUGGUAACAGUGAAGAAAAUAUAUCAGGGAAAUUACUUCUUUAUGCUUAGUCACUUAGUCUUAGGGUAAUUUCUCAAGUGUGCUUUUAUGCUUUUCU
Molecule: long non-coding RNA, 2957 nt
Filed under: Mus musculus (house mouse)
Lineage: Eukaryota; Metazoa; Chordata; Mammalia; Rodentia; Muridae
Description: long non-coding RNA chr13:88887759-88890716
Source: RNAcentral